GUGUCAGCCGCCGCGGUAAGACGAACCGUGCAAACGUUGUUCGGAUUCACUGGGCUUAAAGGGCGCGUAGGCGGGCCAUCAAGUCAGGGGUGAAAUCUUUCGGCUCAACCGGAAAAGUGCCUUUGAUACUGGUGGUCUCGAGGGAGGUAGGGGCAUGCGGAACUUCCGGUGGAGCGGUGAAAUGCGUAGAUAUCGGAAGGAACGCCGGUGGCGAAAGCGGCGUGCUGGACCUCUUCUGACGCUGAGGCGCGAAAGCUAGGGGAGCAAACGGGAUUAGAAACCCGAGUAGUCC
Molecule: ribosomal RNA, 292 nt
Filed under: uncultured bacterium
Lineage: Bacteria
Description: partial 16S ribosomal RNA
Rfam family: Bacterial small subunit ribosomal RNA
Source: RNAcentral